AACGUAGGGGGCAAGCGUUGUCCGGAAUCAUUGGGCGUAAAGAGCGUGUAGGCGGCCAGAUAAGUCCGCUGUGAAAUCUCGAGGCUCAACCCUUGAAUGCCGGUGGAUACUGUCGGGCUAGAGUCCGGUAGGGGAGUGUGGAAUUCCCGGUGUAGCGGUGAAAUGCGCAGAUAUCGGGAGGAACACCGAUGGCGAAGGCAGCACUCUGGGCCGGCACUGACGCUGAGGAGCGAAAGCGUGGGGAGCGAACAGG
Molecule: ribosomal RNA, 253 nt
Filed under: uncultured bacterium
Lineage: Bacteria
Description: partial 16S ribosomal RNA
Rfam family: Bacterial small subunit ribosomal RNA
Source: RNAcentral